CUCUCUGGCAGCCAGGGACGAGCAGGAGCUGCACGGCCAGCCCGCGUUUGGUUUGGCCCGGGUACGGCCAAAUGUGGUAAUCUCGUAUUCCCUAAGGCUCCUUUCUGCUACGGAAGAAGCAGGAGACCUAGAAGACCUGAUUGCUUGAAUAUUUUUAGUGCUUGGAUGUCAUGUUUUGAGGCCGAUGCACUCACCUGCGAGGUGACAGUGCCUGAGGAGGUACAUUAAGGGAAACAGAAGACUCCCUUCCUCAUCACUAACGUCCUUGGCUGCAGACACUGCAAGUUGUGUGUCUGACUCUGAAACCACUCAUUAGUAACAACUGAGUAUGGCCACUACAAAAUGAAGUGUCCCUUGGAAAAUUCCGAAGAGGUAAAGGGACAAUCAG
Molecule: long non-coding RNA, 388 nt
Organism: Catharus ustulatus (Swainson's thrush)
Lineage: Eukaryota; Metazoa; Chordata; Aves; Passeriformes; Turdidae
Exons: 3
Source: RefSeq, a predicted model, not a curated record